UCAAUCCCUUGAUGAUUCAGAGAAGCAUUUUGAAGGUUUAAUUCUACUUGGAAUAUUUCCUGUUCGGUUCCUGAAAUGGAGCUUUUAUUGCCUUUAGGUUUCCUUUGCUGCCGCUUUGGGUCCUGGGCCAGACUCACUUCUGAGAAGGUUCCUCUUUGUUUAUUCAUCUCUGCAGCUGUGUGAUGUGAGGGACUGUGCUCUAUGAUAACUGCACUUAAGAAGCUAUAAAUGGUGUAUAUUUUGACAGGAUCCCUGGUAUAGGCAAUGUGCAUGUGUUGGGGCUGAGUAAUAAUGUUUACUUUGCUGUUAACCAAUGUAAAAUUCUGCUACUAAUUUCCUAAAGCUUUAAACAAAAAUCACACGAUAUAAUUGGCAAUUUUUUAGAUGUAUU
RNAcentral lists this long non-coding RNA (391 nucleotides) under Homo sapiens (human). RNAcentral's name for it is "HSALNT0185550". Lineage: Eukaryota; Metazoa; Chordata; Mammalia; Primates; Hominidae. The record is from RNAcentral.